CCUCAGACCAGAAUCAGUCCUGAAUAAAUCACUAUCGGGGAGAUGAUGUCCUAAGCCGGCCACAAAGUAGGAGGAAGGUACUCAAAUUCUGUAUUUUAUAAGGAGGGGAAAUUACUGGACCCAAGGCAAUGGAUUAGAAAUUACCCUCUAAGAUAAAACAGCAUCUGUUUCAAUUUCUAGCCAUGUCAAGAGCACCGAUAUUGAGAAAUGGUGAAAGCAAAGUCGGCUUUGACCCAACAGCUCCGGGCGCCUACAAACAAUAUACACAUAUACAUAUACAUUUAUACACACCCGUACAGAUGUGUCAAUAGGGAAAUACAACAGCCUCCUCUAGAGCAAUAGGAAAAAGCAGCCUUUAUUACGUGGCGUUACAGCACACUCUCUAAUUCAGGACAAAAAAGCCAGGACUGCCCAAGAGCAUCAGGGGUGGCGGGCAGUGGGCAAGAAGGAGAUAAAGCCGCAGCCACAGAAAUCCAAGACCACUCCAGCCACCCCCAACCCUGGGACCUUUUCUAGCUCUAGCUCGGACUCCAGGCUUCCUGCCGGCCCCCUCAGGUCUUGGCCUGGGCCCUCAGCGUUCCUUUCCGCUGUCGCAGGAGCCUCCUCGCAGUAAUGGAUGGCCCCAGGACUUGGUCCCCUUAGCCUUGGGCCUGGACCUUGCCUGGUUUGCCUGGUCCGCUCUCCCUCCUCCCCGGAGCGCUCGGGCCGCGGCUCCGGACAGGCAGCCGGCCCGAGCGUUUCUGACGGCUUCGGCCGCCCGCCCGCCCUCCCUCCUUGCGCCGAAUGCUCUAUGGAUUCUGCCCGCUGCUGGACCACGAACAUCGGCGCUUCGUGGAAGCUGCCGGGAGAUUCAGGAGACGGCAGUGCGCAUUUGGGGGGAUUAGGAAAGGACUGGGAGGGAGGGGAGGGGUCCAGUCUAGGAGCCGCAGGAACGGAAGGGCCGGCUCCGAACUCCGCAUCACAAAUCAGCCAGCUUGUCAGCCCCCCGACGGGCUUCCCUGUUGCAAUCCUAGCCACAGGAGAUCUGUAGCAGGAGGUGGAAGAGACAUGGAAGGAGAGGAUGAGUUGGAUGCUGGGGAAGAAAAUGGCGAGGAGCCAAGUUUGCUUGAGAUCUAUUUAUAUCCUGUACUCCAAAGAGUUCUUAUCAUGAAGUCCACAGAUAGAUAGAGGAGACCAUACAAAGACUUUAGGGGAACCUGUGAAUUUUUGUUUGAUAUUUUAA
RNAcentral lists this long non-coding RNA (1222 nucleotides) under Sarcophilus harrisii (Tasmanian devil). RNAcentral's name for it is "lncRNA (ENSSHAG00000027630.1)". Lineage: Eukaryota; Metazoa; Chordata; Mammalia; Dasyuromorphia; Dasyuridae. The record is from RNAcentral.